GACGAACGCUGGCGGCGUGCUUAACACAUGCAAGUCGAACGGUGAUGGGGAGCUUGCUCCCUGGAUCAGUGGCGAACGGGUGAGUAACACGUGAGUAACCUGCCCUGAACUCUGGGAUAAGCGUUGGAAACGACGUCUAAUACCGGAUAUGUCUCGUGGACGCAUGUCCUGCGGGUGGAAAGAUUUUUCGGUUCAGGAUGGACUCGCGGCCUAUCAGCUUGUUGGUGGGGUGAUGGCCUACCAAGGCGACGACGGGUAGCCGGCCUGAGAGGGUGACCGGCCACACUGGGACUGAGACACGGCCCAGACUCCUACGGGAGGCAGCAGUGGGGAAUAUUGCACAAUGGGCGCAAGCCUGAUGCAGCAACGCCGCGUGAGGGAUGACGGCCUUCGGGUUGUAAACCUCUUUUGGCAGGGAAGAAGCCUUCGGGUGACGGUACCUGCAGAAGAAGCACCGGCUAACUACGUGCCAGCCGCCGCCGUAAAAC
This 488-nucleotide ribosomal RNA is filed under the name uncultured bacterium. RNAcentral describes it as "bacterial SSU rRNA". It matches the Rfam family "Bacterial small subunit ribosomal RNA", at positions 28 to 526 of the family's 1533-position model. The record is from RNAcentral.